Scophthalmus maximus (turbot) is the source of this 1590-nucleotide long non-coding RNA. The record is from Ensembl. Lineage: Eukaryota; Metazoa; Chordata; Actinopteri; Pleuronectiformes; Scophthalmidae.
AUGGCUGGCACUGCCCUCUUCAUCCACACCAACUUUGACAUGCUGCAGAAGCACAGCAGGAUAACUGCAGCUGUGGAAACAGUGGAGCUGCUUUGGCAGCAGGCCUUUUCUCCGGCCCGUCUGCAGCUGCAGGCGUUCCAGCUGCGGGAGGAAGCACGGAAGAUCACAGAGCAGAUGGAAACGCUUCAUCGAGAGAAGCUCCAAUCUUACAAAAUGGAGAUUGCAAAGGAUGCUGCAAAUGCAGAGAUGUCGGUGUCCCAUUUUGAGGCAUCCAUUCACACUCCUGCAAUGGCCCUUGUUCGCAGUGCUGAAGAUUUGAUCCACACAGUAGCCGAGAUCCUGCCAUCGGAUGGUCAGAGCAGGGAGUGUUGGGUUCUGGAUCUUGAGAGGCUGAAGGACAAACUACGCUCUGCUGUGCACUUCAUUCUCCAAACCCUCAGAGCGUUUUCCAACUACCAUCAUCUCUUCAACAAGGCAAGCAGCUGGUACAGUCUGGUCCUCUGUGAGAACUUCCUCCAGGAGCUGGUUUCUGGUGUGAAUGUGGCGCAGCAGCACAGGAGGAUUUAUGGAUCGAUUCCCGCAUGGAGGCACAAUCUGUCCACGUUCCUAAAGAAGAAUCCCCCACCAGAUAUGGAGGAGCUGGUUCAUCUGGCUCAUCUGUCCAAUGUCAUCCCAGAUGAUGCAGUCCAACAGGCGGGCAAGCAGAUGUCUCGGCGGUGCAUGACUCUGAGGAACCUUGUAAUGUCUUCAGGGCCUGUGGCUGUGGGUCACCUCCAGCAGGCGUUACAGUGGCAGUAUGAGUUGUUGCGGGGCAGCAAUGUAAAUAAUUCCUGUGCUGACAGUGUUGCAGACAGAACGGUCAAGGAUAUUCAUGACGGCACUACAGAGUGCAACCUCAUUAAACGUGAAGUGUCUCCUUCGACUGCAGGGAUCGUGUCAGCAGAGGGCAAACCCCCUGCCCUCAGCUCAUUUGACUCAGGCAUUGAUGGAGUGGGGAGCAGCCACCUGGAGGCCUGGGGCGGGAGGGAAGGAGUGGAAGGUCUGUCUAGAUUAGCUGGCAACAGGAACUCCGUGAAACAGGGCAUGAGCCAUCCUCAAAUCCACAAAGAGAACAUCUCCAGUGUUUCAAAUCCUGAGAAUCUCCGAGAGGAGGGUGACUUUGGCUCUGUGGGAAACUCCUCCAGGGCCUGCAUCCAGAUCGUCCCCGAAGUAACCAAGGAUUCCCUCAACUUUGAGAUCAAAGUGAAGCGCUCAGCUGCGCUGCCUAAUAAUCCUUGGCUGAGCUUGCCAGUAGGAGACCUGGAAAGCUCUUAUACUGUCACCAUCACGCACAACCCAACACCACAACGGACAGACCUACAGUUCCACCAUCCCUCAGACCCCUACUCCCACAGGUCUCAACAUGAGCCCACAGGGACGGACAUGUUGAGCAGUCCACAGAGCACGAACUGGAUAUUACAUUCACAAAGCAGUUUUGAAGAUUUUGAAUUAAGUCCCAUCUGCAACAUACUCUCCAGCACUAAUACAGAAGUAAGAGGAAGUCCAUCUGCACCACAGAAAAAUUCCUACUCUUCUCUGGGAUUCAUAUGA